Molecule: long non-coding RNA, 1803 nt
Filed under: Struthio camelus australis
Lineage: Eukaryota; Metazoa; Chordata; Aves; Struthioniformes; Struthionidae
Description: lncRNA (ENSSCUG00000014826.1)
Source: RNAcentral
UAGGUUUAAAAACGUCUCAGACCUGCAAACUGAGCAGAGUUAGUCUGUGUAACACAGGGACUCCCAGGUCUGGUACUUCUGCCGUUCCUGUUUCUGUUAUUUCAUCCUGUUUGUUUAGACUGGGAAACCUUUCGGGCAGGGACUGUCUCUCAUUGUAGACCUACAGCCUGAUUAACCAGGGCCGUAUGCACUGAUUUUUUUUUUUUCCAUGAACGCAGUACUUGCCUGUUCGCCUUUCUCCACCCAACUGCUUCUGUGUUUACUUUGUCUUGUGGCCCCUGUUUGGGAAAACACUCUUUUGGAAGAAUUCCUGAGGCACAGGCUGAGCGGUAAUCACAGGAGUCGGUGAUUUCCUGACUUGGGUUUUAAGCUGUAAGCUCUUUGGGAGGAGGAUUGAGAGUCCUAUAGUUAUGAAGAGCACCUAGGACAUCUGGGGCUUUAGUGAAACAUGAAGAUGUAACUAAUGACUGUCGAGGUCUUUCUGCCAGCAACGUGGGCCAAAAAGCACCAACUCUGCUCCCAAGUCCUCCAGGAACCUCACAGGACUAUCAAGAAAAGAAAAAACACUCUGUGUGUAUUGGCUCUCGGACAGGAGCUCUCGCCAUGAGAUCUGUGGACUGUGGACACGCUGCAUGGACUGUUUCCAAGAUCUCAGUAAAAGACUUAGAAACAUCAAAAUAACUUGCUUUGAAAUUUCUGAAGAGAAGCAUUUUGACUUCUUUGAAGCUGAUUGCACAAGAAAGUCCAGACUCAGGAACAGAGGUUUGAAAGACCUCUCAGCCUCAAUCAGGGUGAGCAUUUGAACUGACAUGUGUUGCAUCUUGAGACUGUAGCCAAACCACAGGCUGUGGGACAACCGGCAAUAAGGCUCUCCUAAUUCUUCUGCUCAUGUUAUAACGAUAUAUAAAUUAUUUACACUGUUCAGUGAACCAUACGGAGCAGGAANNNNNNNNNNNNNGCAGGAAUGGCUAUAUCUAUAUGGCUAAUUUAUCUGGCCUGGGAGUCAGGAGCUGGUGGUUCAGAGUGUUUGUGUCCAUGCUGCUGAGGGCUAUAUUAUGCAAAGCAAGUUAACCUGGACUGUAUGACAUGGCACUUGACCCUGCCUCAGCUUGGCCCUGCAUGUUGUGCUUGUGGCUCUAAGACAGAAUUAGUAUUUCUGUAGGGUUUUUUUCCCCCCACCAGGUCAAAAUGCUUGACACAAUGAUGAUAUUGCUCACCAGAGUUGUGUUUCCAUAGUGUAAAAUGGGCAAGGUAUGUUGCAUGCUAUGGGUUGAGAAAUAAGAGCAUUCAGGAGAGCUGGAGGAUGGACGGGCUAUUGGGGUCGUGCUGGAAGAGAAUCAUGUGGGAAGGGAGGCAGAGCUUGCCCAUACUGCUCUUGAAAGCUGCUCUUGGAGUGCAGAGCAGCACUGCUCUGGGUUUGGAGAGCUGUUCAACUCCAAAGAAGAGCCUGGGCACAUGCUAACAAUCAUGAUGGGGGCAAUCAGGGACAAGGACCGUGACUCAGCUGGGGAGUUAAAUUAUUUGAUGGUGUAGGCACAUCUGAUGGGCACGUCCACAUAGCUAACUAAGGGAACAGGCUCAAGCACUGGACUUUACUCAUUCUCACUGCUUGGUUUUAGCUAACUCUGUGGCUUGGGUUUGGAUCACUCCACCCAGCUGUUUCCAAGACAAGUCUCCUCUUUAGGGAGCAAGCUGUAGGUGGCUGUGAGCCAGGCAGUGCUGCUUUGCCCUCUUUUAUUUAACAGCGUAGGCAGAGCCAGCUAAGCUGGUCUCCUGCCUUGCUGCGCUCCAGACCAUAUCAUG